ACCCAGUGGAUAGCUCAGCCAGCAAGAGCAUGAGGCUCUUAAUCUCAAGGCCACGGGUUCGAGUCCCAUGCUGGGCA
This is a non-coding RNA of Podarcis lilfordi (Lilford's wall lizard), 77 nucleotides long. The record is from the annotation of a GenBank genome assembly. Lineage: Eukaryota; Metazoa; Chordata; Lepidosauria; Squamata; Lacertidae.